Perognathus longimembris pacificus (Pacific pocket mouse) is the source of this 1191-nucleotide long non-coding RNA. RefSeq lists it as uncharacterized. The record is from RefSeq and is a predicted model, not a curated record. The transcript has 3 exons. Lineage: Eukaryota; Metazoa; Chordata; Mammalia; Rodentia; Heteromyidae.
UUGUCUUAAAAAGAAUAUAAAUAUCAAAAUCAAAGAUCAUUUUCAUCAUCCCUACCCCUAUAGUUUCCUUAUUUCACCUGAUCUCUACCAUCUAUGGAUAAAAACCUGGAAACCACUAUGAUACAGAAAGUACUUAUUUCCACUAUUUGGUUAUCUACCCAUUUCUGAUUAAUAUGAUUUCUGAUUGAGUAUAAAUAUCAAAUAAUUUUUUUCUCAAGUGUAUGUGAACACAAGCUAGCUAAUUUUACAUAUGGGCCAUGUGUCUCAAGGUAGAGUGUUUGCCUCGCAACCAUGAAGCAAACUCCAGUACUGCCAAAAACAAGUAUCACAGAUACAUGUGGUAUUUGCAUAUGUAGCACUUAACAUGAAGGCCAGUAAACAGGAGAUACUUAAAUAUCACUGGCAUUACAGUGAUUUUUAUUACAGAAUGGUUAUCAGUGCCUGAGAUAACAAUUUAAAGAGGCUUGAAGCCAAACAUAGGGACUCAUACCUAUAGUUAACAGCUACCUGGGAGGCAAGGAAAGGAGGGGGCCCUACUUUGAGACCAGCCUAGGGGGGAAAUAUUCUGUUUCAAAGAAGAAGCUAGGUGUGGUGAUAUACGUCUGUAGUCCCAACUACACAGAGACAAAAGUAGGCCCACUGAGGGUCCCCAAGGCAAAAAAGCCUGAGACCCUACAGUCUGGCAGAAAACAACCACAAACAAACAAACAAACAAACAAAAAAACAACUGGGGCUAGGUCUCAGGUGGUAAAUCAUUUGUAAGAACCUGAAUUCAAACAGCACUACCAAAAAUUAAAAAUAAAGUCUGAAGAAAAUAUAAGCUUUUUUCUUGCUAUACGUGAAAAUGUAAAGCACAGAAAAUUUAUGCUAAGCCAAAGAAACUGACCUCAUGCCUUGAAAAUUUGGGAAACUAAACUUUCCAUAACAUAUGGUUUACUUGUGGUAUUUACUAGUAUCUAUUAAAAUUUAAGAUGUAUAUGCCCCCUACUCUAACACUGCCAAUCUUAGAGAUCCUACUAAAAUAUUAACUUGAUUUUGGACUUAUCACCUGGUACCCUCAUGUGCAUAUAAAGAAGAGAUCUUUUUCUCUUUUGUUUUUUGUUUUUUUGUGCCAGUCCUGGGACUUAAACUCAGGGCCUAGGCACUGUCCCUAAGCUUUUGUAAUUAAGGCUAGUGUUCUGCCACUUUGAA